CGGAUGGUUUUUCAUUUUAAAUGAUGUUGCUGCCAGACAGGUCAGUACCUGGCCACCAGUGUGGCCGCGUGUUGGUUUUUGGUACGUCCGGUGUAUAUAUAGGGGUUGCUGCUGUCGGCAAAUAAUUUUCCGGUGCAGGCGCAUUUAUUGGACCCAAUGGGGCAGCUGCCAGGCGAUGCAUGAGGGGCUGUUGUAGAUGAGAGACUGCAGC
Drosophila willistoni is the source of this 211-nucleotide long non-coding RNA. RefSeq lists it as uncharacterized. The transcript is spliced from 4 exons. NCBI's taxonomy places the organism in Eukaryota, Metazoa, Arthropoda, Insecta, Diptera, Drosophilidae. The record is from RefSeq and is a predicted model, not a curated record.